ACGUUACCCGCAGAAGAAGCACCGGCUAACUCCGUGCCAGCAGCCGCGGUAAUACGGAGGGUGCAAGCGUUAAUCGGAAUUACUGGGCGUAAAGCGCACGCAGGCGGUCUGUCAAGUCGGAUGUGAAAUCCCCGGGCUCAACCUGGGAACUGCAUUCGAAACUGGCAGGCUUGAGUCUUGUAGAGGGGGGUAGAAUUCCAGGUGUAGCGGUGAAAUGCGUAGAGAUCUGGAGGAAUACCGGUGGCGAAGGCGGCCCCCUGGACAAAGACUGACGCUCAGGUGCGAAAGCGUGGGGAGCAAA
RNAcentral lists this ribosomal RNA (301 nucleotides) under Salmonella enterica subsp. enterica serovar Virchow. Its description in RNAcentral is "bacterial SSU rRNA". It matches the Rfam family "Bacterial small subunit ribosomal RNA", at positions 472 to 772 of the family's 1533-position model. The record is from RNAcentral. Lineage: Bacteria; Pseudomonadati; Pseudomonadota; Gammaproteobacteria; Enterobacterales; Enterobacteriaceae.